GAUUUCUGGCUUGAAGCCACCCGCCGGCCACGGUUUCGUGUGUUAGUGCGGGCGGUUCUGGCCAUCCUUCCCAUCCGCCCGCUGGCUACUCUUCAUUGAGUGCGUCAGUGGGAUGGGAUCGUUUACUUUGAAAAAAUUAGAGUGUUUCAAGCAGGCUGUAUGCUAUGAAUACAUUAGCAUGGAAUAAUGAUUUAGGACUUCGGUUCUAUUUUGUUGGUUUCUAGGACUGAAGUAAUGAUUGAUAGGGAUAGUUGGGGGUGCUAGUAUUCAGCGGCCAGAGGUGAAAUUCUCGGAUUCGCUGAAGACUAACUUAUGCGAAAGCAUU
Molecule: ribosomal RNA, 325 nt
Filed under: Cercozoa sp.
Lineage: Eukaryota; Cercozoa
Also listed under: 1 other name
Description: SSU rRNA
Rfam family: Eukaryotic small subunit ribosomal RNA (bases 116-325)
Source: RNAcentral